RNAcentral lists this long non-coding RNA (655 nucleotides) under Bos taurus (domestic cattle). RNAcentral's name for it is "long non-coding RNA NONBTAT021859". The record is from RNAcentral. Lineage: Eukaryota; Metazoa; Chordata; Mammalia; Artiodactyla; Bovidae.
UUUUUGAAAACAUAACUUUCUGAUUUUUCUUUUUCUUCAUGGGAUUGCAUCAUGAAAGCAUACUUGUAUUUAUUCGAGGUUUCAUUAUGGCUGUGAAAAACUCUCUGAUUUCUGGCUGUAUGAGUUUCCUAAUUGAAUUCUUAAACUACUUAACUGCUCAGACACACUUUGUGCAAGCAGGAAAUAAUUAUAAGUAACAAUAACACAAUGUUAUCCUUCCAAUCAGUAUUUUUUCCUUUUCUUUUAGGAAUUCAUUACACAUCCCAUGUUAUUUCCAAGAACUUUAUUUAUUUUUAAAAUGUGAUUUGGUAUAUAUGAGGAAGGAACCUCAUCUCCAGUGGAUUUAGAAGAUAAAUUUUCAUAGGUUAGUGAGCACUGCUUUUAAUCCUAAGAAUGACAAAGCAACAUUUCUGCCACCUGUAAAAGUUAGUCCUUAUAUGAGUUAGUGUCAAGGAUGAAUUUAUAUAAUGAGUUAGUUACUGUCUCCCAAUCCUCAAGUUCUUGAUCUGAAUGUCAAAUUUUCACUAAUGUGGAAGCCAGAACAAAAAUAUCAAGCUUUGAGGGAAAACACUGUAAACAUUUCUUUGCCACCUAAAUGGUUUGUUUUUCUGAUUUGUUGUAAUUUUUACUGUAUUAGGUCUCCCUACUGCAUUCA